RNAcentral lists this ribosomal RNA (253 nucleotides) under uncultured bacterium. RNAcentral's name for it is "partial 16S ribosomal RNA". It matches the Rfam family "Bacterial small subunit ribosomal RNA", at positions 524 to 776 of the family's 1533-position model. The record is from RNAcentral.
UACGGAGGGUGCAAGCGUUAUCCGGAUUUACUGGGUUUAAAGGGUGCGUAGGUGGAUUGGUAAGUCAGUGGUGAAAUACUUUCGCUUAACGAAGGAACUGCCAUUGAUACUAUCAAUCUUGAAUGUAGUGGAGGUAGGCGGAAUGCGUCAUGUAGCGGUGAAAUGCUUAGAUAUGACGCAGAACACCAAUUGCGAAGGCAGCUUGCUACGCUACUAUUGACACUGAGGCACGAAAGCGUGGGGAUCAAACAGG